This is a non-coding RNA of Meleagris gallopavo (turkey), 4055 nucleotides long. NCBI's taxonomy places the organism in Eukaryota, Metazoa, Chordata, Aves, Galliformes, Phasianidae. The record is from RefSeq and is a predicted model, not a curated record.
GACUGACAGGUGCCGGCUCUAGCGGCGCGCGGCCUGCAGCGCGGGACCCGCCGGCGCGAGGCGGGAGGGCGCCGCCGCCAUUUUGCUGCGCUAAUCCCGGUAAUCGGAUUUGCCCGCGGCUUGUGAAAUACGGGAUGGCUUCGGCGCUGUGGAUGCCCUGCGCUGCUGGCUGCCGCAUUGCAUCUCGUGUUUGUUCUGCUGCAAAUGCUCCGCGUUUUGUUAACGCUUCUAUCUGUGACAUUUAACGUGUCAAGCUUUUGGUUUACGUGCAACUACUGUGAAUUGAGAACAAUUCCCUAAUGUCCGGCCCUUUGCUCUGUGGCCAUCAGUGCGGUUUUGUCCACACCACUUCCUGUUCCUUUAUACCUCAUGAAGAAUUUUGUUUGCUUUACUCCCCUUCAAAGCCUUUCUUGUGUGAAAGGUGCGUGGAGAAAAGCAGCUCAGCACUGAAGUUCUGCAAUUCCCCACCAAAAAGGACAGAGUAGAGAUACUUCCUUGAAAUGAUCAUACCUGCAAUAAGUUCUGUUUGGAUCCUUAAAUGAGUUUGCAAUUGCCUUCACUUCCUUACCUGACAACAGAAAUAAACGGUUUCAUGAAGACACUUCUUUCAAGCAGCUGUCUGACCCUCUGUGCGUAUUGCUUACAUUAUUUAUCACCUCAGGAAACAAGUGCUACAGUACUGUCAGUGCUUCAGAAGCACUAACAAAUGCUUGCCUAAAUAAAGAGAGAAUUAGUUGGACUUGAUGUAGCCAGAUGCUCCCAUAGAUUCGGCCUUCCCACACGUGUUCUGUCUCUGCCCCUUCCCCACGUCCUUGGAAUCACAAAGCUGAGGAAAAAGCUGGGCCUUGAGUCAGGUGCAGAAUGUCUGGAACGUAACAGAGCAGACUGUCAUGCUAACAUCCAGGUUACUUCUAAUGGGAUCUCGGACUUUGUGUAUUGCUUAUGCAAUGCUCCUCGGUAUCAUUUUAGGCAUGUACAUAAAUGUUAGUAUGUACUAAUGAGGAUGUAUGAAAGAAGUGCCAAAGAAGUAUUUGUGACUAACAUUUUGUCAGUAAGAGUACAAUAAUGUGGAUUAAAUUAAACCUGUUAUAAACCCAUAAAAGAAAUAAAGAACCAUGCAUUACUGAGCAGUGAUAAACACAAGUAUCUCUUUAGAUUAUGUGAAACAAAUUUAAGGAAGAUUAGGUUUUCAAUUCCCACUACAUCUUAAUUCAUUUUGCUUUUUUUCUAUUGUUCUGAAAAUCGAAGACAUAAGUAACUCAUAUAGCAGAUACCCCUAGUUUAAAGACAUUAACUUAUUUGUACUUGGCUGUUCAAUGCCCUGGCAGUUUAAUAUCUAUAGACAAUGUAAUAGAGUUGAAGAAAAUUGGGGUUUUAAUUAUUAUUUUUGUGUGCUUUCUUAGGGCAACUCUAGCUAAUUCACUGUAAAAAGAAUCACUUUUUCUCUGACCAGUACGGUAAUUCAAGGUGCUAAUUUCCUUAUGUAGGUUUGAGCUACUUGAACUUACAAUCCCAUCAGCUCCUUACAGAUGUACUCUUUCAGAGUAAGAAAUUCUUUACAAGGCCAACUCGGCAACACCCCAGAUUUUACUUUCUCAUUAUAAUGCUUCAUUAUAAAACCACUUGUACACAAAGAAAAUUGAUUAAUUCUUACAUGAUAUUACUGCAAGGUAUAAAGAAAACUGUAAGCAAACUUCUUUAAAAUGAAUUAAACAGUCCCAAGGUUUCUGAAGUGGGAAUCUAUGUAUGCUUGGCUCAAGUCUGACAAUCUCACUUCUGCAAAUCAUGGCACAUGGUAUUUUUUCCUUAGGAGUAAGGAAAAGCUUAGGCUGCAUAGUAAAAAAAGGAAGUGUUCCAGUAUUCUUCUCUGGUCAGUAUUCCUCAGCUUCCCUUAUUAAUGGCAGCAACAGCAACAUAUGUAGCAUUACCAGAUCUAGUAAAUUGCUCUUAAGUGACAAGUCCUCUCAAUGCCUUGAGUAGACCAGACUAUCCAGGAGAAAGAUCUUUGGAUGGACUGCCUUCUCCUUUGCUCUCACAGCUGAGGUCAAAGCAACCAGCCAUGCUGCUGAGAUCAAAAACAAAGCUCUUCACCUCUUGGGCAGACCAGCCCAAAGUGGUUCCACUCCCCUUUCUGUCAAAUAAGAAAGGAAAGGCAUUGCUUUGCAUAACAUUCUUUCUCUCCUAGACCACUGAGUGAAGGGAGAAGCUGGGGAAAGGAGCACAGUUACUGAGACUUGUGGCAGCUGCCAGCCUCUCCAAAUCUGGCUGGAACAGGAAAGCCUGGCAAAAAUCAUUUGAUUCUCAAGCUAUGUGAGCUGUGCAUGUUUACCGAAGAAUCAGAUAUAUCUCUAAGAGUGUUCAGAGCUUGAAGCUGACCACUGCAAAGGCCACUUGUCACAUUUACUGAAAAUCAGCCUAUUGAUAUCACAGCUGAAAAUAUAAACUCGACAACCAAAGCCCAUUGCACAACGUGGACUGCGUAAGAGUUAAAAAUAGAUUCGACGUGCCUCCUACCUGCAUAAUAAAUAUUCCAUCAAAAUCCUGAGCAGUAUUGACAAACCACACAAGCACAGGGUCUGCCUGCAAGAUCAGCUGUCUGUGUCUACGCUACACCCUGUUAACCACAAGCAGUGUGAGAGCUAAAAAUAUCCGCAAUGCAGAAACGGUGUGCUGCUUAUCUAUGACAACUAUCAUUCCUGGCCACGAGACUUCUAUAAUAAGAACAGCAUUCUUGAAAUAGGGGCACAAGCCUUGUACUGGUAUAAUCCUAUGAAUAUGUAAUAGGUGACUGAUGUAUUAUACAGGUGUAUAUUCAAAAUUUUCAAAUACUAAUAAGAGAAGACUUGGGGAUCUUGAUUUGUGAAGAUAUGCCACCUUGUGCCCUGCAUGGAAAUAAAGCAAUGUCUCCUCUCUAAACACUUGUCUUUUCAAUGUGUUUUAGAGAUUUUAAAAUCAGCAACAGGCCUUCCCAUUAAUAACUUGGGAUGUGAAACUAAAACCCAAGUGUUAACAAUGAAUUCCAGGCUGAUCUUUUUCUGCCAUGGUGUAGCUUGAGAUUUGUCUACAACCACUCUCUUACACUUCCAUCAUUGCUACGAUUAAGAAGCUAUUUAUACUCCCAACAAGAGAGGUACUUCAUUUUAAGAAAGGUGUUCUACAAAUUGCAGAUUAUUUAAGUCUAAACUAGUUCAACCUGAACUGAAAUCACUGUAGAUAAGGCUCUGUUUUAAAAAGCUUUCCGUCCUAGAUCACUUAGAAAAUUAUAUCAUUUAUCUUAAUAUAAACUGCCAACUUCUCCAUGCUUCAGAAUUGAAAAUGUGCUUUUGAAGGUAACAGUCAGUCAGGAAAAGGAAUGGACACUCUCUAAGAGAGCUUUAUCCCAAGGAAUUUCAAUCAAAUUUUAGGAAUAAAGCUAGCAAGCAACAGUAGUGCAUUUUUUAGAGUACAGUUGUAUAAAAGGCUCUAUUAACAAUAAUAAUACUCCUUUACAGCAUGAUUUAUCUAACAAUCUUAGAAAUCAUCACAAUCAUUAAUUGGGCCUAACUACAGCCUGAAAUAAAUUAGCAUAUUGUGCUAAUAUUAUAGAUGGAAAAGAAAAAGAUGUCCUGAAUCACUCAGGAACAGAACCCAGAGCUGCGUGCUCAAGUUUAUAGCCCCAACCAAGAAGAACUGAUAUCAGACAAAUGAAAAUGGGAUGUCAGACAGAAAAAUUACAAAAGAUUUUUAAAAUCAUAUUAUAAUUCUGAUAAUUCUUAUCAGACAAGAAAAUAAAGUUGCUCGAGACUAACAACAGCUAAAUUUUUUUACUCUAUAUUUUUUAAUUCUCACUGGACCUUUGCAGUAUCAUUCAUAACUACCAGGAAUUUCUUACUGGCUACACUGAUUUACCUAUGUGCAAAUCUAAAAGUGGAGAAUAUUUUACAUAAUGGCCAUUAGAACUGGAUCAGUCAUCUUCAUUAUUAACCCUGUUUAUGACUUAAAAGACUGGAAUAACUGCAUCUACUUUUCUUUAAAACAUUGAGAGGGAUAUGGAAAAAAAGACAUAACAGUUAAAA